GCACUGGUCGUCCAGCGGCAGGAUACCGCCGUCGUAACGCGGUGACGUGGGUUCGAGUCCCACCCGGUGCU
This 71-nucleotide transfer RNA is filed under the name Planctomycetota bacterium. Its description in RNAcentral is "Planctomycetes bacterium tRNA-Thr". It matches the Rfam family "tRNA". From Rfam's summary of the family: Transfer RNA (tRNA) molecules are approximately 80 nucleotides in length. Their secondary structure includes four short double-helical elements and three loops (D, anti-codon, and T loops). The record is from RNAcentral. Lineage: Bacteria; Pseudomonadati; Planctomycetota.